GGUUAAGCGACUAAGCGUACACGGUGGAUGCCCUGGCAGUCAGAGGCGAUGAAGGACGUGCUAAUCUGCGAAAAGCGUCGGUAAGGUGAUAUGAACCGUUACAGCCGGCGAUGUCCGAAUGGGGAAACCCAGUGUGAUUCGUCACACUAUCGUUAACUGAAUACAUAGGUUAACGAGGCGAACCGGGGGAACUGAAACAUCUAAGUACCCCGAGGAAAAGAAAUCAACCGAGAUUCCCCCAGUAGCGGCGAGCGAACGGGGAGCAGCCCAGAGUCUGAAUCAGCUUGUGUGUUAGUGGAACGGUCUGGAAAGUCCGACGGUACAGGGUGAUAGUCCCGUACACCAAAAUGCACAGGCUGUGAACUCGAAGAGUAGGGCGGGACACGUGGUAUCCUGUCUGAAUAUGGGGGGACCAUCCUCCAAGGCUAAAUACUCCUGACUGACCGAUAGUGAACCAGUACCGUGAGGGAAAGGCGAAAAGAACCCCGGCGAGGGGAGUGAAAAAGAACCUGAAACCGUGUACGUACAAGCAGUGGGAGCACCUUUAUGGUGUGACUGCGUACCUUUUGUAUAAUGGGUCAGCGACUUAUAUUCUGUAGCAAGGUUAACCGUAUAGGGGAGCCGCAGGGAAACCGAGUCUUAACUGGGCGUUAAGUUGCAGGGUAUAGACCCGAAACCCGGUGAUCUAGCCAUGGGCAGGUUGAAGGUUGGGUAACACUAACUGGAGGACCGAACCGACUAAUGUUGAAAAAUUAGCGGAUGACUUGUGGCUGGGGGUGAAAGGCCAAUCAAACCGGGAGAUAGCUGGUUCUCCCCGAAAGCUAUUUAGGUAGCGCCUCGUGAACUCAUCUUCGGGGGUAGAGCACUGUUUCGGCUAGGGGGUCAUCCCGACUUACCAACCCGAUGCAAACUACGAAUACCGAAGAAUGUUAUCACGGGAGACACACGGCGGGUGCUAACGUCCGUCGUGAAGAGGGAAACAACCCAGACCGCCAGCUAAGGUCCCAAAGUCACAGUUAAGUGGGAAACGAUGUGGGAAGGCACAGACAGCCAGGAUGUUGGCUUAGAAGCAGCCAUCAUUUAAAGAAAGCGUAAUAGCUCACUGGUCGAGUCGGCCUGCGCGGAAGAUGUAACGGGGCUAAACUGUGCACCGAAGCUGCGGCAGCGACACUAUGUGUUGUUGGGUAGGGGAGCGUUCUGUAAGCCUGCGAAGGUGGCCUGUGAGGGUUGCUGGAGGUAUCAGAAGUGCGAAUGCUGACAUAAGUAACGAUAAUGCGGGUGAAAAGCCCGCACGCCGGAAGACCAAGGGUUCCUGUCCAACGUUAAUCGGGGCAGGGUGAGUCGACCCCUAAGGCGAGGCCGAAAGGCGUAGUCGAUGGGAAACAGGUUAAUAUUCCUGUACUUGGUGUUACUGCGAAGGGGGGACGGAGAAGGCUAUGUUAGCCGGGCGACGGUUGUCCCGGUUUAAGCAUGUAGGCGGAGGUUCCAGGUAAAUCCGGUACCUUUUAACGCUGAGGUGUGAUGACGAGGCACUACGGUGCUGAAGUAACAAAUGCCCUGCUUCCAGGAAAAGCCUCUAAGCAUCAGGUAACAUUGAAUCGUACCCCAAACCGACACAGGUGGUCAGGUAGAGAAUACCAAGGCGCUUGAGAGAACUCGGGUGAAGGAACUAGGCAAAAUGGUGCCGUAACUUCGGGAGAAGGCACGCUGAUAUGUAGGUGAAGCCCCUGCGGGUGGAGCUGAAAUCAGUCGAAGAUACCAGCUGGCUGCAACUGUUUAUUAAAAACACAGCACUGUGCAAACACGAAAGUGGACGUAUACGGUGUGACGCCUGCCCGGUGCCGGAAGGUUAAUUGAUGGGGUUAUCCGUAAGGAGAAGCUCUUGAUCGAAGCCCCGGUAAACGGCGGCCGUAACUAUAACGGUCCUAAGGUAGCGAAAUUCCUUGUCGGGUAAGUUCCGACCUGCACGAAUGGCGUAAUGAUGGCCAGGCUGUCUCCACCCGAGACUCAGUGAAAUUGAACUCGCUGUGAAGAUGCAGUGUACCCGCGGCAAGACGGAAAGACCCCGUGAACCUUUACUAUAGCUUGACACUGAACAUUGAGCCUUGAUGUGUAGGAUAGGUGGGAGGCUUUGAAGCGUGGACGCCAGUCUGCGUGGAGCCAACCUUGAAAUACCACCCUUUAAUGUUUGAUGUUCUAACGUUGGCCCCUAAUCGGGGUUGCGGACAGUGUCUGGUGGGUAGUUUGACUGGGGCGGUCUCCUCCCAAAGAGUAACGGAGGAGCACGAAGGUUAGCUAAUCCUGGUCGGACAUCAGGAGGUUAGUGCAAUGGCAUAAGCUAGCUUGACUGCGAGCGUGACGGCGCGAGCAGGUGCGAAAGCAGGUCAUAGUGAUCCGGUGGUUCUGAAUGGAAGGGCCAUCGCUCAACGGAUAAAAGGUACUCCGGGGAUAACAGGCUGAUACCGCCCAAGAGUUCAUAUCGACGGCGGUGUUUGGCACCUCGAUGUCGGCUCAUCACAUCCUGGGGCUGAAGUAGGUCCCAAGGGUAUGGCUGUUCGCCAUUUAAAGUGGUACGCGAGCUGGGUUUAGAACGUCGUGAGACAGUUCGGUCCCUAUCUGCCGUGGGCGCUGGAGAAUUGAGGGGGGCUGCUCCUAGUACGAGAGGACCGGAGUGGACGCAUCACUGGUGUUCGGGUUGUCAUGCCAAUGGCAUUGCCCGGUAGCUAAAUGCGGAAGAGAUAAGUGCUGAAAGCAUCUAAGCACGAAACUUGCCCCGAGAUGAGUUCUCCCUGAGACUUUAAGUCUCCUGAAGGAACGUUAAAGACGAUGACGUUGAUAGGUCGGGUGUGUAAGCGUAGCGAUACGUUGAGCUAACCGAUACUAAUGAACCGUGAGGCUUAACCUUACAACGCCGAAGGUGUUUUG
Molecule: ribosomal RNA, 2925 nt
Filed under: Klebsiella aerogenes EA1509E
Lineage: Bacteria; Pseudomonadati; Pseudomonadota; Gammaproteobacteria; Enterobacterales; Enterobacteriaceae
Description: LSU rRNA
Rfam family: Bacterial large subunit ribosomal RNA
Source: RNAcentral